This 305-nucleotide ribosomal RNA is filed under the name uncultured bacterium. Its description in RNAcentral is "bacterial SSU rRNA". It matches the Rfam family "Bacterial small subunit ribosomal RNA", at positions 335 to 657 of the family's 1533-position model. The record is from RNAcentral.
GAUCCUACGGGACGCAGCAGUGGGGAAUAUUGCACAAUGGGCGAAAGCCUGAUGCAGCGACGCCGCGUGAGUGAAGAAGUAUUUCGGUAUGUAAAGCUCUAUCAGCAGGGAAGAAAAUGACGGUACCUGACUAAGAAGCCCCGGCUAACUACGUGCCAGCAGCCGCGGUAAUACGUAGGGGGCAAGCGUUAUCCGGAUUUACUGGGUGUAAAGGGAGCGUGGACGGCUGUGCAAGUCUGGCGUGAAAGGUAUGGGCUCAACCUGUGGACUGCUUUGGAAACUGUGCGGCUUGAGUGUCGGAGAGG